UACGUAGGGAGCGAGCGUUGUCCGGAUUUACUGGGUGUAAAGGGUGCGUAGGCGGGCUGUCAAGUCAGAUGUGAAAUACCGGAGCUCAACUCCGGGGCUGCAUUUGAAACUGAUGGUCUUGAGUGAAGUAGAGGCAGGCGGAAUUCCUAGUGUAGCGGUGAAAUGCGUAGAUAUUAGGAGGAACACCAGUGGCGAAGGCGGCCUGCUGGGCUUUAACUGACGCUGAGGCACGAAAGCAUGGGGAGCAAACAGG
Molecule: ribosomal RNA, 253 nt
Filed under: Ruminococcus bromii
Lineage: Bacteria; Bacillati; Bacillota; Clostridia; Eubacteriales; Oscillospiraceae
Description: partial 16S ribosomal RNA
Rfam family: Bacterial small subunit ribosomal RNA
Source: RNAcentral